Molecule: ribosomal RNA, 612 nt
Filed under: uncultured bacterium
Lineage: Bacteria
Description: bacterial SSU rRNA
Rfam family: Bacterial small subunit ribosomal RNA (bases 1-519)
Source: RNAcentral
CCUACGGGAGGCAGCAGUGGGGAAUCUUGCGCAAUGGGCGAAAGCCUGACGCAGCCAUGCCGCGUGAAUGAUGAAGGUCUUAGGAUUGUAAAAUUCUUUCAGUAGGGACGAUAAUGACGGUACCUACAGAAGAAGCCCCGGCUAACUUCGUGCCAGCAGCCGCGGUAAUACGAAGGGGGCUAGCGUUGCUCGGAAUUACUGGGCGUAAAGGGAGCGUAGGCGGGUUAUCAAGUUGGAGGUGAAAGCCCAGGGCUCAACCUUGGAAUAGCCUUCAAAACUGAUAACCUAGAGGAUGGAAGAGGUAAGUGGAACUCCGAGUGUAGAGGUGAAAUUCGUAGAUAUUCGGAAGAACACCAGUGGCGAAGGCGACUUACUGGUCCAUUACUGACGCUGAGGCUCGAAAGCGUGGGGAGCAAACAGGAUUAGAUACCCUGGUAGUCCACGCUGUAAACGAUGAUUGCUAGUUGUCGGCAGGCAUGCCUGUCGGUGACGCNGCUACGCAUAAGUACAACUACCGCCGUCGGGGAGGUACGGUCGGCGAAGAAUUAAAACUAACAAAGGAAAGUUAGACGGCGUGAGACGUGCCGAACGGACGACGACGAGGGAGGUAGG